RNAcentral lists this long non-coding RNA (430 nucleotides) under Homo sapiens (human). RNAcentral's name for it is "non-protein coding GRID1-AS1:7". The record is from RNAcentral. Lineage: Eukaryota; Metazoa; Chordata; Mammalia; Primates; Hominidae.
AGCUAGCAAAGCUUGGAGAAGCCUGAACAAGCUGGUCACCCUCACUGUCAAAGACUUUCAUUUCCACGGAAGGGAAACUGAUGACCUGGGACCAUUGGAAGAACUAUAUGGAUGAAGCAGUUCUAAGGACUGCAAAGCUGCGCAGCGGGAACCAACUCCCUACUGCAGUUAUCAUUCGCCUUUAAAGUCUCCGUGUCAAGACACACAGAAAGUGUCUACACCAAAUGGACAAACGUUCCAGGGGGUUUCCUUCCCAACUGCUUAUUAAGAAAUCCAUCCUCUUCACAUCAGUGGGACUUCAUUCUACUCAAAUUCCAUCAAUUCCCAAUAGCUCCAACACGAGGACAAACCCUAGGAGAUGAGGGUGCCAUCUCAAGUCUCUUAUUUUGGUUAUUUAACUGAAUAAGAAAAUGUGUAUAACUGCAGCAAA